Molecule: long non-coding RNA, 482 nt
Organism: Helianthus annuus (common sunflower)
Lineage: Eukaryota; Viridiplantae; Streptophyta; Magnoliopsida; Asterales; Asteraceae
Exons: 4
Source: RefSeq, a predicted model, not a curated record
ACACAGGCGAUUUCCAGAUCUAGGGUUUCAAUAACCCUGAAUCGUUCAUUUUCUCUCAAUCCGACAGAAGAUCCAGUGGGGUUGACCUCUAGAAGAUCCACUGGGUUUUUCUCUAAUCGGCACAAGAUCCACUGUGGAUGACAUCUAGGUACCGUUAUAAAACCACAUCUAAUGUUUUUUGUUUGUUAUUUGAGUCUGAUUUGGAUCUGGUUAAAAUUCUGUUUGCGAGGCAAUGCUUGAACGGGUCUCUGACAUGAUGGAAAAGGAUUUGAUUCUUGUUGGUGCAACUGGUAUAAACCAUCUUCUCCGAGAUCGGUUGCUGCUUAUGUUAAUCCUCAUCGUCUUCUGUUCAGAUCUUGUUUUAAUACCGAUCUGCGAAAGUUUUGGAUGAUUCUGGAUUUGUUAUUGUGUUAGGAGAUGUCGUGUUCCUCAAGCCUGAACAGGGCUAUGAGGUUUUGAAGAGAGUUGUUGAUGUGAUUGGG